UUUGACCUCGGAUCAGGUAGGAAUACCCGCUGAACUUAAGCAUAUCAAUAAGCGGAGGAAAAGAAACCAACAGGGAUUGCCCUAGUAACGGCGAGUGAAGCGGCAACAGCUCAAAUUUGAAAUCUGGCCUCGGCCCGAGUUGUAAUUUGCAGAGGAUGUUUCUGGCGCGGUGCCUUCCGAGUUCCCUGGAACGGGACGCCACAGAGGGUGAGAGCCCCGUAUGGUUGGACACCAAGCCUGUGUGAAACUCCUUCGACGAGUCGAGUAGUUUGGGAAUGCUGCUCUAAAUGGGAGGUAAAUCUCUUCUAAAGCUAAAUACCGGCCAGAGACCGAUAGCGCACAAGUAGAGUGAUCGAAAGAUGAAAAGCACCUUGAAAAGGGGGUUAAACAGUACGUGAAAUUGUUGAAAGGGAAGCGCUCAUGACCAGACUUGUGCCGGGCGGUUCAUCCGGGGUUCUCCCCGGUGCACUCCGCCCGGCUCAGGCCAGCAUCGGUUCUCGUUGGGGGAUAAGAACGGUAGGAACGUGGCCCUCCCUCGGGAGGGUGUUAUAGCCUGCCGUACGAUACCCUGAUGGGGACCGAGGUUCGCGCUCCGCAAGGAUGCUGGCGUAAUGGUCAUCAGCGACCCGUCUUGAAACACGGACCAAGGAGUCGUCCAUUAGAGCGAGCGUUUGGGUGUAAAACCCGCACGCGUAAUGAAAGUGAAAUUAGGUGAGAGCUUCGGCGCAUCAUCGACCGAUCCUGAUGUUCUCGGAUGGAUUUGAGUAAGAGUUUUAACGGACGGACCCGAAAGACAGUGAACUAUGCUUGUAUAGGGUGAAGCCAGAGGAAACUCUGGUGGAGGCUCGCAGCGGUUCUGACGUGCAAAUCGAUCGUCAAAUAUGAGCAUGGGGGCGAAAGACUAAUCGAACUGUCUAGUAGCUGGUUACCGCCGAAGU
Molecule: ribosomal RNA, 938 nt
Filed under: Harknessia gibbosa
Lineage: Eukaryota; Fungi; Ascomycota; Sordariomycetes; Diaporthales; Harknessiaceae
Description: eukaryotic LSU rRNA
Rfam family: Eukaryotic large subunit ribosomal RNA
Source: RNAcentral